Molecule: ribosomal RNA, 544 nt
Filed under: Gonioplectrus hispanus
Lineage: Eukaryota; Metazoa; Chordata; Actinopteri; Perciformes; Serranidae
Description: partial 16S ribosomal RNA
Rfam family: Bacterial large subunit ribosomal RNA
Source: RNAcentral
GGUCCCGCCUGCCCUGUGACUAUAUGUUUAACGGCCGCGGUAUUUUGACCGUGCGAAGGUAGCGCAAUCACUUGUCUUUUAAAUGGAGACCUGUAUGAAUGGCACGACGAGGGCUUAACUGUCUCCUCUUUCAAGUCAAUGAAAUUGAUCUCCCCGUGCAGAAGCGGGGAUACCCCCAUAAGACGAGAAGACCCUAUGGAGCUUUAGACACUAAAGCAGUUCAUACUUUCACCCCUGAAUAAAGGAUUAAAACCGUAUGAAACCUGCCCUAAUGUCUUUGGUUGGGGCGACCGUGGGGAAACAAAAAACCCCCACAUGGAGUGGGCAUACUAUUCCCAUAACUAAGGGCUACAGCCCUAGUUAUCAGAAUUUCUGACCAGUUAAGAUCCGGCAACGCCGAUUAAUGAACCGAGUUACCCUAGGGAUAACAGCGCAAUCCCCUUUUAGAGUCCAUAUCGACAAGGGGGUUUACGACCUCGAUGUUGGAUCAGGACAUCCUAAUGGUGCAGCCGCUAUUAAGGGUUCGUUUGUUCAACGAUUAAAG